GCACAUUGAACAUUUUUUCAUAUGCUUUAUUAACAUUUCUAAAUGCAAUAUUCACAUUUUAACACAUGAUCAACAUUUUUUCUAUACACAUUUAACAUUUUCCAAAUGCUUGAUUAACAUUUUUUAAAUACUUGUUCAACAUUUUUUAAAUGCUUGAUUAAUAUUUUUGUACACAUGAUAAAUUUUUCCAUCAUUUUUUAUUACAUGGUGAACAUUUUUUCUAUAUAGAUUUAACAUUUUUCAAAUGUUUGACCAAUAUUUUUAAAAACUUGUUCAACAUUUUUUCAAAUGCUUGAUUAACAUUUUUAUAUACAUGAUAAAAAGUUCAUCAUUUUUAAUGCAUGGUCAACAUUUUAUAUGUUAUUAGUAGUAUUACAAGCGCCGGGAGCGCGGCGUCACGCCGCGCCCGUCAGAUAGCCUGGUAUAAUGAGCAGAAAGAAUAGAACAAUAAAGCAUAUGCAUGUGGGCACAACGCGUCGCUUAUUCGUCCCACACAAUAUUUUUGAUCCGUCCCUUUCCAGACAUCGUCUCAUGGUCCUGUCGUCUACUGCACCUACGGACAAUGCUUCGCCAUGGCCACCGACAUUCUCUUGCCAAAAGGCGAACCACUUGGCUUUGUCAUCGACCGGCGUUGCACAGCGGAUGUGAGGAACGACCAAAUCUGGCAGCGUUCCAAAAACAGUUCAGACUUUAGAAGUUGAAGCACCAUGUGAUUUAUUUUAUGAUAUAAUAACAAUGAAAAGAGCUGUCUUGCUGAAAUCUUAGUUGUACAUCCCCAAUUGAAUAGCCUAGUCGGCACUGAGAAAUGCUAGUGAGGGAUGCUAAGUCGACAAUAUUGGUGAUACAAAAAUCAAAUUUCAAAGGAAAGGAGGGAACUCUUGCAGUUUGCCACAUAUGUAUAUUCAACCACCUGUGUUAGCAAAUUAUAAGUUGAUAUGAGAUGCGACUGAGUCAUUAAGAGUCCGACAUUCAGAUUGCUAGUAGAAAACUAAUUUAGAUACACAGGUAUUGUGUCAUGUGCGAGAACCAAGCAGAACGGACUAAGAAGAUGCUCGGUCAUCUCUGUUGUGCAUAAAUUGCACGUCAAUCCUGUAAUUUCCGGCUCCGUUGAUUUGAUGAGUACGUAGUUGUUGAUGCUAGUUUUUGGCACGGAUGUAAACUUAAUUAAGAUGGCCUCAAAUGAAAGACUUCUCAAUAUGAAGAAGUUUCGUAUCAUUGAAGUGAACACCUUUUAUGUUUAGGUCAUUGUCAUCCGACCUCAUCUCAGGGGUCGAAACUAAGCUCGAUAUAUUGAGAUCCAGGGUUCUGGAGUACUGUUCAGCCGAUUACCCCUUCAAGAUGACCUCAAAUGAAAGAGUAUUCUGAAUGAAAUGUCUUUGUCUCAAUUAUGAUAUAUAAAUCAUCUCAAUCUGUGGUCAUAUGUGACCUGUGGAGCCGAAACAAGAUCUGGCUGAAAAAUCCCGUCGCGCAAUCAGAGGUCCUAGGUAAUCCCGAGGUCACAUUCAAUCCGAGGACCCAACCGAGGACGCAAUCCGAGGACAUAUGCAAUCUGAGGUCGUAUGAAAUCUAGGUCAUAUGCAAUCCAAAGACCCAAUCCGAGGACUCAAUCCGAUGUCCCAAUCCAAGGACUCAAUCCGAGGUCAUAUGCAAUCCGAUGACCCAAUCUGAGGACUCAAUCCGAGGACUCAAAAUCCGAGGUCAGGAAAACUAGGGAGGUAACAUAGAAUUCUUAGCUCGAUUAUGUCGGCUAAUCUGACCAGAAGCUAAAGAUGGACAAUUGAAGAUAUCCAGAUGACCUCAGAUGAAAAAGUGUUCAACACGGAGGUUGUUCGUCUCAUCGAAACAGUUAAAUUUACUUUUGGAAAUUUACUUUUGGGCACGUCUCCAUUAGAGAUAGUAUAUGGCUGUAGAAAUAAAAAACCGAACUGUUGUCUCAGGCAUACCUAGAUCCGAG
RNAcentral lists this ribosomal RNA (1954 nucleotides) under Triticum aestivum (bread wheat). RNAcentral's name for it is "partial small subunit ribosomal RNA". The record is from RNAcentral. Lineage: Eukaryota; Viridiplantae; Streptophyta; Magnoliopsida; Poales; Poaceae.